GGCACCGUGGCCUAAUGGUAAGGCGUUGCUUUCCGGCAACGAGAUAUCCUUCUUGAUUGUAGAUUGGCAAAGAUUGUGGGUUCGAGUCCCAUCGGUGUCG
This is a non-coding RNA of Elasticomyces elasticus, 100 nucleotides long. NCBI's taxonomy places the organism in Eukaryota, Fungi, Ascomycota, Dothideomycetes, Mycosphaerellales, Teratosphaeriaceae. The record is from the annotation of a GenBank genome assembly.